AGGAAUAUAACUCAAAAGGUUUAGAGUACUGCCUCUUAAGCAGCGAGAUCCUGGUUCGAUUCCAGGUGUUCCUACCA
This 77-nucleotide transfer RNA is filed under the name Parcubacteria group bacterium ADurb.Bin216. Its description in RNAcentral is "tRNA-Lys". It matches the Rfam family "tRNA". From Rfam's summary of the family: Transfer RNA (tRNA) molecules are approximately 80 nucleotides in length. The record is from RNAcentral.